Molecule: microRNA precursor, 87 nt
Filed under: Paramuricea clavata
Lineage: Eukaryota; Metazoa; Cnidaria; Anthozoa; Malacalcyonacea; Plexauridae
Source: RNAcentral
UUACAAGAUAAUUUAAAAGCAAGGAUGAAUUUUGAGAUUUUGCUGAAAAAUCUCAAAAUUCAUCCUUGCUUUUAAAUUAUCUUGUAA